UUUGACUGCAACUUUGACUAUAACCUGCUGAUUUAAUGACUCACACUAAGUUUAGGGAGUGUGGGCUGCAAUCUUAAUUAUGAAAAUGUGGCCGAGCUCCUGAGAUUAGCAGCUAGCGUAAAUAUCAAAAACAUAUAAUGAAGACAGGAGACAAGUUCGUGGGCCCAAUGGCCACUAUAAAUAUGAGAAUGAUCCCCUAACUUCACCAUUUAUCAAAAUCUGCUUCUACACAAACCAAUGCAUUUUUUAAAAAUCUUUUAGAGUGGUGUAAUUUGCCUUCGUACCUGGACUGACAUGCACGUGAAGGCUGCCAAGGAGAGAGACCAGGUCUCUUCGGCAGUCACCUGGGUCAUGUGUGCAGAGGGUCUGUGAGUGGCUUUGUCAUCCCUGAGAACGUUUGCAGUGACCCUAUCUGUGUGCCCCUCUGCAUGUGUUUCCACGUGUGUCUGGACGACAGCCCCAAGCGUGUGGACGGAAGGCAGCACUUCACAAACAGCCAGACAGAGCACCACCUCUUUAGUGCAGCAGCCACAUUUGCAUAACAAAGCCCCCGAGGAAGAGGCAUGAUAAAUGUGAAGGACCCCUCUUGGAAAAAGAACUGUCAACCGCGCCCCGAAAGAUUCUCCGACCGAGCGCAUUCUCCCGGACUGCAGUCAGCGAAAAUAAAAUGAAAGCAUUAAAGAAAGUCAUUCUCUCAGAGAGAAAAAUCUCCCCCUCUGCACAGAGAGAACUGGAUGAAAUGACAUUAUGCAUAUGAAAAUGUCCAGAAAGAUGUUUGAUUUAUGUAUGCAUUAGAUGCAAAUUCCAUUACGGUGCGCGCGCUGUUGUGUGAUUUGGCGCUGAACACAUCAGCGCCCUGAUCAGAUCUGAUCUCAUUAAUUCCGACAAGGAGAGAGAGAGGGAAUUGAGAAGAAUUUAUGGCCUGGACACUUGAAAGAAGUAAAUUGUAAUUCUGUUUAAAGCUGUAGCGAACCUUUUAAACACCUUUUAUUAUAGGAAAGAAGCACUCACUUUUAUAACACUGUAAGGACUUACUUAAUCCUGCACUGGGGGCUCUGGUCUUCAUUUAGGGGGAAAAAAAUCUAUGACCUUGUUUAGGGGAAAGAAAAAAGAAGAGGAAAAUGUCUGUCUUGAACCAAAAUUCAGGGAAAACAUCACAAUAGUAGGAUCAAAGGAGAAAUGAUGCCUCUGUGAAUAAUUGGGUAAACGUUUGGUUUUAAGGAUCGUGUGUUUUGUUUUGUUUUGUUUUAGUGGCUUAAUAUUUUCAAAUAAAAUACCAAACAGUGAAUGAAUAUUUUUAUGGGACUGGGUAACAGAUUUACAUUUUAAAAUGUCUUUAUUUGCAUUACAGAUAAAAGCGCUACUAACAAUAUGUGACGGGAGAUGCAAUGGGAAAAGUUAUCUUUUGAAACCUCUACUUAUUAGGACUGCUUUGAAAGCACAGUCAAUUUCAGACCAAUAUGAAUAAUAAUGAUAAUAAUAAUAACCCC
RNAcentral lists this long non-coding RNA (1490 nucleotides) under Homo sapiens (human). RNAcentral describes it as "HSALNT0215427". Lineage: Eukaryota; Metazoa; Chordata; Mammalia; Primates; Hominidae. The record is from RNAcentral.